GAGUUUGAUCAUGGCUCAGGGUGGUAGGAACAUUGAGGCUGGGGCCGCCUGAGGCUUUGGCAUGAGGCUGGGGGGCUGAGGAGAGAUGUGAAACAGUUACACCGGGGUGAAGGUGUCAGAGAGGCCUCUCAGUUUCAGCUUGAGUCGGCAGGCAGGCCAUGGUGGUGGCUGGUGGGGAAGUCACCACUGCCCCAGGCCAGAGAGGAUUGCCUCUGAGCCAGGGAUGUCCAGGGCUGCCUCUGAGAGAGGUACAGGUGGGAGUGGACACGGGCAGGUCAACCACUGUCCCUGCCCCAUGACCCCGACACAGGUCAGAUGACCCAGAUGGUGGGGGCCGAGGGCAGGAGCAGUUGGAGGGGCCAGGCUAUCAGCUGAGU
This 377-nucleotide ribosomal RNA is filed under the name uncultured microorganism. RNAcentral's name for it is "partial 16S ribosomal RNA". The record is from RNAcentral.